GGGUGUAUAGCUCAGCUGGUUAGAGCGUUCCGUUCACAUCGGAGAGGUCUCCUGUUCAAAUCAGGAUACACCCACUA
This 77-nucleotide transfer RNA is filed under the name Candidatus Moraniibacteriota bacterium. RNAcentral describes it as "tRNA-Val". Lineage: Bacteria; Candidatus Moraniibacteriota. The record is from RNAcentral.